RNAcentral lists this long non-coding RNA (548 nucleotides) under Olea europaea (common olive). Its description in RNAcentral is "long non-coding RNA (OEUR_LNC013751)". Lineage: Eukaryota; Viridiplantae; Streptophyta; Magnoliopsida; Lamiales; Oleaceae. The record is from RNAcentral.
CAGAGAUCAGAAUACAAAAUCUACUAAUGGCAAACAGUACAAACAUUGAUGUCUCAAAAAUGAAAGAGAAAUUAAAAGAGUGUUUGAGUGUUCUCUUCAUGUUCUUACAAAUUAAUCGGUUUAAGGAUGUCGAACAAGAACGAUCCCAUAAAAGAAGAUCAAGAAGAAGAAGAGGAGGACGAGACUGAUCAUAAAGUUUCUGCUCUUCAGUAUUCUUUCUUUCGACAACAUAAAAUCGAUCUCUUUAUUUCUUGCCGUACAGUACUUGGCUGUUCCAAUGUUUAUGUCUGGUAUCUAUUUGCAACUUUUUUUCUUAAACUACAAUAAUAUACCCACCCCAAGCUGAAAUAUUCCUUACAGCAUAGAGAUAGGUGAUAAAAAAAUUAUUCUUCAAUCUUCUUCGUCAUCAUCUCUUCUAGGUUUCUUCAAUUUAAGGUCUUCAGAUAUCGGAGAAAAUAUCGACUCCACCCCGGCAUCCGAUACAUCAAAUCUUGGAGGCGAUGCUUUUCUCUUCAGUGGUGGUUCUGGCAGGAUUUUGUUGGGGGCUC